This is a long non-coding RNA of Astatotilapia calliptera (eastern happy), 10394 nucleotides long. The record is from Ensembl. NCBI's taxonomy places the organism in Eukaryota, Metazoa, Chordata, Actinopteri, Cichliformes, Cichlidae.
UCUGAAAGCUGUGGACAAGAGAUAUUUUACUUUGUAUUCUUAUGGUGACAUUUUAACUAUCAUUGAUCAGUCAUUCAUCAUUGUUGAAUCUGAUGACAGUAUAAUCUUUGUUUUAUAUCUAUGGUAAUCUGAGUAAAGAUUAAUGGAUGCAUAUUAUCAUCAUUGUAAUCAAGUCUCAAAUGGUAUCCACAGCAUUGUAUUCACCGUCCAAACUGGAGGGUCCAGCAGGACCUUGUUCUAAUUCAUUUGCAGGCCUACAUCAGAACAUGCACAUACAGAGUUAUGUAAACACGCACGUUCGCAUACACACUUAUUUACACAGGGAGGUCAUGUCAGGACAUUCUCUAGUUGGACACACAGGCUCACAGAACUGCACAACAUGACAUGUCACACACUUGUUUUUCUCUAAAGUAUCAUCUGAUGUUUGUAUAAGGAGAACUUUGGACUAUGGGGAGACUGUUAUCAUUUCCAGUAAGGUCUAACUGUGUGAUGUCAUCAUGGGUUAUAUAAGGAUGGGGAACUGUCCACUCUUUGGAGAAUCUGUUGCAAGUUUUCUUCCCACACUUCUGCGCAGAGUGUGUAAUUAAAGAUCACUAUUUUGACGCCUCCCUGGACUCAGCCUGCUUUCUUCUCUUACCCAAAACGAACGAAUCUUAACAAUUCUUGGUGCCGAAACUCCGGCUGGGGAGGAGAGGAGCUGCGGCUGCUGCGUGGAAGGUGCCAAAACGAACGGAGAUCAGCAGCUUAUCUGAGUGACAAGCCAGGCGAAAUAAAAGCUUCCUUCCUGCGUGCUCAGGGUGGGGCGAGCAGAGACAAACGAUGCUGCAGAGGGAGGAAGAAGAGGAGAAGAUAAAGACCGAGGCUCUGAGAGGAAAUGCGAUCUCCCACCUGGGAGGGGUUUGGCUGGGAGCCGGAGAGAUGUGACGGUAGACGCUGAUAAGUUAAAGUUAUUAACUUACUGGCACAUCAGUAAAGUUCAACCGGACUCAAAAAGAAGCAAAAACGAAAUAAUUGUGAACCAAACAGUGUGUUAAACUCACUUUUACUGUCUGUGUGCAAACAGGCUGUAACGUCUGUGACUCGCUGCUGUUUUCACACAUGAUCUGCAUCCCUGACACAGACGUGUUGGGGAGACACGUGAUCCAGUGCAACGAUCACUGCAGUCUCCUUAUCUAUUUUGCCUGAUGUGUAAAAGCAGCACGUGUAUAAUUUAACCAGCGUUAUACUCUUAGCACCACCUUUUCCGUCCUUGCAUCUAUAAUGACUCUGAUGAACCUGCUAACUCACUCGCUUGCUAAAUGAACAGCUAAUGUAAUUUAGUUUAAUUUUAGUUUCAUAAUGAAGUUUUUAUUUGAACCAAGUGGCUAAUAAUCAAGUGAAGGUUGUAGCUGUUUGUGUGAAAUAUCUGUGAAAGAAAUGCAAACCCAGACUAAGCUUGCAGAAAUCCUUCAUCUUUGUUAAAGAAACUCGUCCGUUCGUGUUCUGUGUGACUUCAUCUCCGCGCUUCAAACGAAUUCACCUUUGUCUCGUCGAUGCUCCCGAGCACCUGCUGGCUGUGACCUCACACCUCGCACAUCAACAGGACGAGGUUAUUAUGUUGAGACAAAAUCAAAGCCCGGCGUAGCGCCUUUUACCUGCCAGGAGGGAUUAGGUGUGAUGUGUCUGCAGCUGCUGUGAGUCUGAGCUCUCAGUGGAUCAUCAGCCAUGAAGAAGAAAGAUCCAGAGUCAGAAGAGCCGCUGGCUCGCUGUGGUGUAAGUGGGUGGGAGUGCGUGGGAGGAUGUGGUGGAAACAAGAGAGGAUGUGUGUGGGACCACUGAGGAUAAUGUGUGUGUGUUGGUGAGAACAUUUAAGUGGAGCUCAUCUCCAUAAUGUGGAUUCAUUUUCUGUUUCGCCUUGGGCCUCACAAAGUUUUACAGCCAUGCUUUCGAUCUUUACACACAAACCUCUGUGAUCUCAGUCGUUGCUGGGAUUCAUAUUUUCAUGCAUACACCAUGAACUCACUGCUUCCCUGAGCUCCACGAGCGCUACUUUCAGCUCGUUUGUUCAGCUCAGUGUUCUCGCUGUUUUGGCCACAGGCAGCCGUGUCCAACGAUAAACCCAGGUACGCUACCUGUACAGCAGACGGACUAGCCUGUGGGAGCAUUAGCAGCUAAAGACUCGAGCUGGUGGUUAGAUAUGCUCACUCCUCCUGAACCAGCUACUGUGCGUCACAGCUGCUGUGAUGGAGAGCAUGAGUUAGCGUGAGUCAGGUCUGUCAGGUCUCAUAAACCUGUGAAGCACCCGCUGGCAUCACACACUGUUGGGAAGGAGAACAUUUUAACCCAAUUCCCGCCUCUUCCUAACCCUAACACGGACGUUUAUAAAGUCCGAUUCGAUCUGAAACCCAAGUAAUGAAUCCUCCAAUGAAAACAAAGCAAAGCGAGGAAAACGUGAAGGUUCAAAGGUCGACGUGAGGCAAACGUGCAAUCAGACGCUGACGUUACCUAAAGUCCUGGAGCAGGUCAGGAUCUGUGCUGCUGGCAGUCACAGCUGUAGCUCGGUGGUGUCUGAGCCGAUGAUGUCGCUGAGGCGUUUCCUCUGUCGGCCAUGUUUUUAUCGCCUCUUUCUAGAAUGAAACCAGAGAAGAAGUGGGAGAGCGGUCUUUGCUGAUCUCACAGCUCUCAGUUAAGUGUGCCCGUCACACGCGUGACACAUGAUCAUGUGAGGUAUUGAUUGACGUCGCAGCUGAGCCGAGGGCCGAGGCCGCACGCCGCCGAUUCCAUGUUUUAAUCCAGGAUGUGUGAAAAUGAUUAGAUCAGAUUAACCAGAGAGGUUGUUGAAUCAGAGGAUGUAACAUCCCUCGCUCGGACGACCUGUUUCGUGUUCUCUCUCAAACACAUGAACAGUACUGCUGCCUCCUCACUUUCAUUUCUUCUUCUCCUUCUUUAUAGUGUUUGUUGGCUGUUGGCAAACAGUAAAAUGGUGCAUUACCGCCACCACUUACUUUGAUUUGGGUGGAGGCAGUGAUAGAUGUGUGGCCGUGGGUGUUGUAUACACCGCCCCGAGCGCUCUGUCACACUGUGGCCUCUCACAGCUGGUGCCACUCACCCCUCAGCUAAAUCUAAUGGACUCCAGCGGGGCCGGGAAGCCACCCAGCGCGGGAGCCGUUGUUUAUCCAGGAGCAUACCGUCACUAAUGAGCAAUUUAUUCGUGCCUGUGUCGCUUCGUUUGCCUUCGUGGAGAGAAACGCAAAUCAUAAACAAACGUGCCGGCUUUGUGUCUGCCGGAGUGUGUGCGUGGGAGGGUGGGCUGUUGGAGGAGGGCGGAGGUAAUCCAGAGGUGACUAAACAAUGUCACACCAAUAAGAGCUCAUUUGAAUGUGAAAAGCAUCGGGCUGAGCUCCGGGACCGACUCCCCACAUCCCAUCUGAAAGGCAAAUACACAGAAAUAACACAACGGAGCUGUGUGACAGACGCGCAUGUCUUCAGAUGCUUCGUCAAUUAAGUGAUUAGUCAGAAAUAAUCAGGAACUUUUGAUAACCAGCUUUUCAUUCAGCAAACACAAACGUUCGCUGCUUUUUCUGCCUCUGCAGGACAACAAGCCGUGCUUCAGGACUGACAGCCUGGUGUGUCUAACAUUUGUUUAGUGAAAUACUUAAAGCCUAGAAUCAAAAAUAUGUUCAUACUCUUGCCUGUAACCCUGUUUUUCGGGUGGGCUGCCCAAUUCUGAGGAGAUGUUUGUUUCCCUUUAAGUCUGAAACGUCUCGUUCCAGAAACAUGAAGCAGUUAUUCAUGAAAAUCCUCUAACGUUGCUGUCAAAGAGGACUGUUCUCUAUCAUCAGGGGUCUCAAACUCCAGACCUCAAGUGUCCUGCAGGUUUUAGAUCUCACCCUGGGUCAACACACCUGAAUCACAUGACCAGUUCAUUACCAGGCCUCUGGAGAACUUCAGACAUGUUGAGGAGGUCAUUUAGCCGUUUAAAUCAGCUGUGAAGUAUCGAGGACACAUCUAAACCCUGCAGGACUCCGGCCCUCUUGGCCUGGAGUUCAACAACCCUGAUAUACAUCUACCGGUACUACCUGAAGGAAGCUCAGCCAAGGCGGACGUUCACGUCGUGCCACAGACGGGGGCUGGGCAGCACACUGAUACUGUCGGUUGGUGUCGACACUAAAGAAAAUAUUACGUUUGUAGAUUUUUGAGGGGCAGGGUCAUGAGCUGAACAUUUCUCUCUCUGAUUGUUUUGUUUUUUUCAGGUUUUAUUCUUUGUUAUUAUUGUUUAAUUUAUUUAUUUGAUUAAAAUCAGGAGGAGGCAGAAAUCACCUUUCUGUUUUGUAAACAUCAGCCUUCAUUUUAAAUGCUUCACCUCAGCCCAUGAGCCCUCAGCCCCUUAGGUUACAAAUUAUACUAAAAAAUAAUUGGUUCAUAUGAACUUUGACCUUUGAGCUCUGCACAGUCAGCAAAGUUGGUGGGAUUUCUCCUUGGGGAUCAAGAUGAAGGCACUCCAUCAGAGCCUGGACUGACAGACUGAGCCUGGCUAAAACAUUUCACCCAGAAAUCACAACCUUGUUUUUUCAAAGCCUACGGUGUCUCCAUUAACGGGGGGGGGUGGAUGCUUCUGCCUUUGCUGCAGCGUGGUUCUUUCAUGGUGGAGGCUGAUAAGGCAGGAGAGUUUUCAUGGUGAAGCAUCGCCUGGAGCUGUUUUACAGGCAUGUCGCUGGUGUGGAGGCAGAAAGAGGAUCCACACAAACAGAAUGGCAGAACAAAAGUAAUGAAGGAGGAAAAGCUGCAAACAGAGAGGAAAAACAAAGCAAAGGCAGAAGAAGACGGUGGGUGGUGGGAGGCCUGUCAGCGGAGGAGCUUUGUAGUCGGUCAGAAACCUCCUCGUGAUUAUUGAGUUAUUCAUCUCUCCACUUCCACGGGGAAAUCCCAGUCUGCUAAGAUGUGAACACAAAGACAGCUUAACACUGACGUGUGUGUGUGUGUGUGUGUUGCUACAUCCUUCGAGUUGAGGUCAUCCCUGUAAAUGACAGAGCUGAUGGUGACAUCAUCUGUGCAUCAUAAAGCUGACAAAUGCACAGCAGCUGAGUCAUGACUGACAGGAAGAAAAACACUUCAUGUUUCAGAAAUCAUUUAAACACUUGGGUUCAGUUUUUUCUACUCUUGGAUCUGUAUGAUGUCAUAAACAGGGGACAACCCUAAUAUGUUCUGGCACAGAGCCAAUCAGAACGAAGUGAUCUGAAAGGGGGAGGAGCUACAACAGAUCCUCCACCUUUCCCUCUGAGGAUGAACUGAGCGAGGCCUGCUAUAAGACUGAUCAAUGUGAUUAGUGUGAACUGUGACUCAGAGCUAUAGAGUAAAAAUAUGCAGCUGAAAACAGUCAUAGUUUCGUCACUGAUGCUGAUUUGAAUCUGUUUCGGUGGCUGUCACCGCACACAGUGUGAAACAUUAGCACAUCAAGAAAAUGAAGCCAGUGGAGAUGGGCCUUAAAUUUGGUCUGCAGGCCUCAGGUGGUGUUACCUGUGGCUGUGAGCUCAGGGAACACUGACCUGAUGAGUUUGAGGUCUGAGUCGCUCUUUCUGGCUCUUAUUAAAGUUUGCUUGGUCAGACCUGGCCGUCCUCGUCCCAUCAGUUUGUUGCUUGUCUUAAAAAAGAUGGUGGAGGUGAAAACAACGGCUCCCGGGCCUGGCAGAUCCCCAUCUACUAAACAGAAGUGAAGAAGUUAAAGAAUUGAAAAGGGGAGUAAGGGUGGGGAACGCAAACGAGAACGAACAGCUCGUGGAACUGAGGGAACAUCACUUUCAGAUCUCUCUUUUUUUCCCAGUAACAUAUUUUUUCUUUUCUUUUGUUUUAAUUUGUUGUAAUUUUCAGCAAAUCUGUUUGUGCUCUGCAUGUUGGGAAAGAGAGAAAUGACCUCUCUGCUCACUCAGUCACAAAGGGUUUUGUGGAAGUGCCUGCCACACUCGGUGCUCAUCGUCUACCGAAGGACAUUUGCACUUGAGUACUUUGUGCCUGGUUGCAUGUGAAGAAACUUUACAAAUCUGUAAUCUGUUAAGCUGCUUGGAGAAGAGCCAAAGCCUCUUCAUGAGAAAUGUUGAGUCACUGCGGUUCAGAGGAAUAAACCCACAUGCUGACUGUCACAUCUGCUCUGCACCAACAUCUAAAGAUCAGAUUAAACUAAAGUCAUCAGAUGACCUUUUUGCACUUAUUCAAUUAAAAAAUGACUUGUUGUUGUACACUGAUGUCACAGACGGCCAUUACAGGAAGAGAGCAGUGCAGAAAUGUCAAUUAGGAAAGAGUUUAUUUUAAAUUAAACAAGCAAUUUAAAAUGUUUCUUAAUUUAUGGUGUGUGCAGUACUGUCAAUGCUGAAUGCAAUGGGAUUUAGUGCAAGACAAUAAACCAAGGAGCAAACAAAGUCCAAAAGAGGAGCUCAAAGAGGAGCUCUAAGGACUUUUCUAGAGCACUGGAUGCUGGGCUCAGGUGUUACCAGUGAUGCUGAGUGUUAACAAGCCACGCCUCCUCUCUAACACCUGCAGAAAGGAGCUGUAACACAGACAAGAGGAAAGUAGAGCGAGUUGUAAAAAGUGAUCUUCUUAAAGUAAAGCCAGCUCUAAAUGUUUUGGCUUUGACUCUACUAAAGUAGCUUUGAUUGAAAAUUCAAAAUAAUCUUUCUUUAUCUUAUACAGAGCCUCAGUUCAUCCUAACCCCCUAACCCUAACCCUUUUAGCUCCUCCCCCUUCGAGUCAAAUUUCUUCUGAUUGGGUACAACCCAUUAAAAGUAAGAGGCCUGAAGAGCAGGCGGGUCCACUGUGCCUGAGAUGACCAUAUAUCAAACUUCAGCUGUACAGUUAUAACAUGCAAGUCUAUGGGACGGACUCACAGCUGGAGUCUGCCUCCAGUGGCUGUUAAAGGAACUGCAGCUUGAAUUUGGUUCAUUUUUUCAGUCUUCAGGUUUCCUCUCAGAUGCUAACAGGAAGUUUACCCACACUUUGACAAAUAAUUAUGACAGAAGAAUCUAAAGAUUCAAAAUGCUUUGUAGCGUUUUGUGAUGUGUGUGGAGUUUUAGAGUCUGCUGUGGACAUUUCAAAAAAAUCCAGUUUUCGGUUCCUGACAUUGACGUUUGUGUUGAUGCUGUUACACUAGGUUUAGAUUAAAUUAUGGAAAGUUCGUAUGCUGAUUAUUUUUUCAUUCUUCAUUCAAGAUAGUGAUCCUUACCUCACCUUUAGAAGAUAACAUUUUCUGCGAGGCAGAUUUGUUCAUUAACAGCUUUCUUUGUAAUCCGGGUGCAUUAUGCUUCAUUAAAAACAUAUUUGCUUUUGCACAUGAACAGUAUAUAAAUGUCAUUUCUCAGAGAAAGGAUGUCUGAUACAUAUCAUCCCCCCUGCUAUUCACACAGAGACAGCAGCACGUUUAACUCAGUGGUGCUUCAUUAAAAUGACACUUCAUCACAUAUUCAUGAGGACUGAUGUGAAGGACAUCAGCAGCUCGAUCUGCAGACUGUCGCACACACUUAGCAGAGUUCACCUAUAGACUGUCUGCUCUGUGGUAUGUGUGUGUGUGUGUGUGUGUGUGUGUGUGUGUGUGUGGAUGGAGUAGUAAAUGUGAGAUGUGUAAUGAAUAAUGAAUUUAGGGUGAAUUUAGGUCAUGCGGGCGAAUAGGAGGGACAACAUGGGAAUAGCUCUUUCUUUCCUCAUCUCCGUACACCUGUGUGUGUGUGUGUGUGUGUGUGUGUGUGUGUGUGUGUGUGCGUGUGUGUGUGUGUGUGUGUGUGUGUUUCGUGCAGACUAAAAGGGAAGUACCCUCUCCUCCCAGCAUUUGCUUAAUCUCUCCAUCCACACGUCCCUGUUCUUUCCUCCAGAUCGGAAUCUAUCAAUGAAUUAAUUUCUCGCUCUGUCGCUCUCCAUCCGUCCACCUGCAUCGCCUCCCUUUGACUCUCCGAUCCCCUCCCACCUCCCCACAGACUGCUCCACCUGCACCCGCCCCGUCUCCCCUCCUCCCCUCAGGCUUCCCUGUGGACGGGCGGGUCCACCUUCCUCUGCCUUUUGAAGCCCUUCAGGUUCUCUGGGAUGGCUCAGGACCCUGAAGAAGCCGAGGGGGGCCGCAGAGAGGAAAUUGGUACAGUAUGUUUAAUAUUAACCGGCACAGAACGGAAACAUGGCUGCCCACAGGGCAUGAACUGCCUCUUUACUGCGGUCUGCGAGAUUAACAGCAGCUAUUAAAAUGUCCUGUUUGGGCUUUCAGUCAUUAAACAUUUUCAUUCUUGAGAGUGAGCACUCAGCUGGCAACCCAACACUCAGACUGGGGUCUGGUAAUCUCUGUAACAUAUGUAAGAUAUGACUAUAGGAAGAAUAUACAGAGACCAAAAGCUUUCUAUUUAAUUAUUCCUGCGGUGUCCGCGUUGCUGCUGUAACAGUGUGAAUUUGCCAACACUGCAACUAAUAAACUUCUCUUAAAUCAAAGAAAAUGUCCAUCCCAGUUUGUGAGAGCUCCACGUCAGAAGAAAACUUUAACACUUUUAGUUUUCUGUGGAAAAAACAGCAAAUAAUAAAAUUUUUGGAGCUUAACUUUUGCUUUAUCACCAUAAAACCUGCAAAGUCCCCUCCUGCCUGAUACAUUCAUGUCUGCAGCUGAUAUACAGUUGUGAUCAAAUGUGUGGUAUGUUGUGUUUUCUUAAAUCUAAGACUGCGCCGUGAACGCGCAGGGCGCCGAAACUUGCAGCAUUAAUCAGAUCUGAAACUCUUCCUCCUCGUCCUUCCUCUCUAAAUCCUAAAUGGACUUCCUGUGCUCUCACGGCUGAUUUAAUUCAAGUGGUCAUAAUGUGUCAAAUUUCCAGGAUAACAAAGAAUCGGUGAGAGGCGAACAACACGGUGCGUUUAAUGUCAUUGUGCACCGGCAACAGCAACUCAACGAGCUUCCUGUCAGCAGAGGUCAAGCAGCUCUAAGCUGCAGCCUCAAUAAAGACUCAGAGUGUGUGAAGGAGGCGACCCUCCAUCAGGCGCCUUUAGAUUAAGACUUGAUUCAUUAACGAGCUCCGCCCCCUCCUUAAGUCAGUGCCAGCAGGAGCACCAUGAAUAUUUAAAUGAAGAAAGUCUCUGUGGAUGAUCAUGGAUUUCUGUUUUUUUAAAACCUCCAUGCUGAGGACGAGGCUGCUGUUAUUAAAGGAAGUGGAGCAUGCUGGGAUGUUUUCUUCACCCGUCAUUUAUUACGUCUGUUUCAUUUUUCUGUCUGAGCUCAUUACAUCAUUAGACCCACCCCCACCCCCAUCAGUGACAAAAUGACAAACACACACACACACGCACGCACACACACACACACGCACACGCACACACACACACACACACACACACGCACGCACACACACAGGCUCUCACACACCUUCUGUCCUGCUGUGCCAUUUGGCUCAUGUAUUUUGAAAAUACGCCCGGCAGGUAACAGCAGCAGCCCGACAGGCGGGAGCAGGUGUGUGUGUGUGUGUGUGCGUGUGUGUGUGUGUGUGUGUGUGUGUGUGUGUGUGUGUGUGUGUGUGUGUGUGUGUGUGUGUGUGUGUGUUUAAGUGACCGUGACGCAGGGCAGAUGUGAGUGUGUGUGUGUAAUCAUGAGUGAUAACAAUGAAAAACUAGAAGAAUAAGACUCUGACAGUCAUAGGAACUGAACGGGGGUCACGUCUGUGUCCUCUCUGUGUUUGUGGAGAUGCUCAGAAAGACCUGGAUCCUCACAAAGAGACAGUGUGUGUGUGUUUGUGUGUGUGCUGGGGACAGGUUGUGUAAUUAUGAGAUGUUGGAGGGGGUCUACAUUAGCCAGCUGUCACUCCUCGCCCCUCACCCCAUGUGUGUGCUUUAAGAGAAGCCUCGGAGACGGGCCUUGGCGGAGGACUGCUGGUGGUUACACUCACAGAUUGAUAAGUUAUGACACCUCCUGUAACCUCCUCUGCCCUCCCUGUCUGUUAGUAUUCUCACUCCGGUGUGUCAGCGUGGAGUCGCUACAGUCGGAGCAUCUUUAAGCUGCUGCAGCAUCACACCAGGCAUAAAGUCAGUGUAUAAAAACUUGUAUUUCCAUAAUUGUCCACUGAGGGAGUGAAUGAGGGAGGACAGUCAUCCAGACCCAGACCCUGUUCAUCUGCAAUAUGUCAUCCAUCAGUGCAAUUAGACACUGACAGCAACACUGGCUCUAUUCGAUUCUUUGUAUUCAUCUUCCAUGAGCGAUGCGUCCUCUCAGCUCUCUGGUGAAAACGACAUUUCAUCUGCGCGUUGGAGUGACAUGAACUCUUGGACAAUCUAUCUUACUGUCUUCUUAUGACUCCAGUUUGUUAUUUACAGUUAUUUCUUCUAACUUCCUGUCUUUUAAAAAAUUACAUAAAGUUGUGAAAAGAAUCUAAAGAGGCAACUGACUUUAUAUUCAACGCAUCUCUGUACUGUGU